GUCCCAUUCUCUGACUUGAAGCUGCACUUUCUGCUUCUCUUGCAAGGUCUUCCAUAAAAUCUCUCUUGUUCUUUCUUGUUGCUGUUUUUACAUUCUUGUUGCAUUCUGUAUACUUUGUUCUAAGCUUUUCUUUAAUUCUCUCAGAAUGUGUUAGACAAAUUUUGUUGUUAACUUCUUUUCUUUCAUCUAUCAAUUUCCAAGUUUCAGGUGUUAUCCAUUCUUUGUGUACUUGUCUUUUGAAUCCUAGUACCUUUUUACUGGCUUGAGUGUAGAUUUCAUGUAUGUGCUGCCAUUCAUCAUUGACUGAUAUUGUGGUUGUGUCGUCAGUCGUGAGGUUUUCUAAUAGCUGAAACCUGUUCUUUAUUUCCAGUUUAAACUCUUGCUGGAUUUUUGGAUCUUGCAAUUUACCAACAUCAAAUUUCCUUUUCACAUUUACAUAAGUAGACAGCUUUUUAAGUUUUAGUUUGAUGUUUGCAAUUACUAGAUGGUGGUCACUAGCAACAUCU
This 506-nucleotide long non-coding RNA is filed under the name Mytilus galloprovincialis (Mediterranean mussel). The record is from RNAcentral. Lineage: Eukaryota; Metazoa; Mollusca; Bivalvia; Mytilida; Mytilidae.